RNAcentral lists this long non-coding RNA (2333 nucleotides) under Marmota monax (woodchuck). The record is from RNAcentral. Lineage: Eukaryota; Metazoa; Chordata; Mammalia; Rodentia; Sciuridae.
CAUUUUGGAGGACUGAACUAACAUGUCCAUUCUGUUUCCUUACUGAGAGAAGGGAUUUAGGAUAGGGAGGGAAAAAAACCAACAUUUUCUGAGUCUAUUAUCUAUGACCAGACCUUUUUAUGCUGUUUCCUUGAUAGCAUCUCACUCUCUAGCCUUUGAGUCAACCUUUUUGAAGUUUAAUUUUUCGUUCUGAGAUGAUUUUAGAUUUUCAGAAGAGUUGUAAAUAUAGUGCAGACAUUUUUAUCUUCACUCCGUUCCCUCUAAUGUUAAAAUCUUGCAUGACCAUGUUCCUUUCUCCCAAAAAACCUCACUGGCACUACACUGUCAACCGAGCCACAGGCUGUCCAGGUGUCACAAGUGUUUCCUUGAAUGUCUUUCUGUCUGUCCCAGGAUCCAAAAUCAGGAAAGCACAUUGCGUUUAGUCAUGAUGACUAUUUAGUCCCCUUGGGUCCGUGACAAUUUCUGUCCUUUCAUUAUGGUUUUGAAGAGAACUGGUCAGGUAUUUUGGAGAUUGUCCCUGGGUUUGGGUUUGUGUGAUAUUUUCUCAGGGUUGCCCUGGGAUUAUGAAUCCCGGGGAGAAUGUGGCAGAAGUAGAGUGUCUUCACCUUCUGGGAGUGGAUCGAAGAAUUUGUGGACUUAAGUUUAAAACAAAACCAAACAAACCACAGUGAUUGUUUUUAUGGGGGGUAGGUAUCUUGAGUCUAUGCCAAUCUUCUGUCGCGGAGCAUCGUGACGGGACGCACCUGCAGCAGUUCACUAUGCUGUUCUCAUGGAGAUAGUCAUUCCCUCAUUCCUUCCAUGUUUAUUAUUUGGGAUUUUUAAGGGAAGUUUGUUCUUCCCAUUUAUUUAUUUUUCAAUCAUUUAUUUAUAUCACUAUGUACUUGCGAGUAUUUAUUUUAUUCUCUGGGUUACGAUCUAAUACUCUCCCUAUUUAUCUUGUUGCUCAAUUUGUCCCAGCUCUGGGCCACUGGAAAGUUUUUCAGGUUGGCUGCUGUGGGCUUUCAAAAUGCCUCCAACUUGUUAUUUUUUUUUUUUAUUCUUUCUUGAAUAUGUUCUUGAUUUCUGGCACUACCAACUGUUCCUGCUCAUCUUGCAUCCUCCUUACUCCUGGAAUCAGCCAAAUCAGGAAAGCACGUUGCAUUUAGUGAUGAUGCCUUCUUAGUCCCCUUGGGUCUGUGACAAGGGAUUGUGCUUCUGCUCAGGGGAAAAUGGUAUUUAGGAAGUAAGAUCUGGGUGCUGAUGUUCUGCCUGCUCUUGGGGUGCCAUGCUUCCCGACCCUCUUGGGUAACAGAGCUAUGGCCUUUAACCCAACCUUUUUUGUGAUAAGACUCUUCUGUUUGUGGUAGAGCUAUGUCCCAGUGAACCCCACCAUAAGAUGACAAUAUCGUAGGAAAUCAUGCAGUUAAUGCACCUAACCUAUGGAACGUCACUGUGUUCUCUACCAUUCACUGUAGAGAAUCAUGGUCCACCCUGAUGUUCACAUGAUGACUGGGAGCUGGGGAUCCUACCACACAACCCCGGUCUGGAGAAAGAUCAAAGUUAAAAUUCCAAGUAGAGUUUCUACUGACUCUAUUGCUUUUGCAUCAAUACAAAGUUGAAAAAAAUCUAAGCUGUAUUUGUGUGUGCAUACUCCCCAGUGUGUUUAUGUGGGUGUCUGUCUAUUCCUACCUAUAGUGAAAUGAAAGUUCAUACCCUCCUCUACAGCUUUACCUCAACAUAGUCUACCGUUAGUAUACAUUUAGAAUCUGAAAUAAAAUUAUAUGCAAUUUUUUGAUAUAUACAAGUGGUGUUUCUCACAAAUCCUUUCGUUUCACAUUUGUUUUUCUAAAGUCAAGAAAACACCAAACCACAACAAAAACUUGUAUGUAUGUUGGAGAGUGGCAGAUACGAGCUUUAGACCGCCGACUCUGGUAGGCAAAACAUGUUCAUUUCUUUAUUUUUCUUGGAAUAGGACUCUACAUCUUUAUGCAUUCAGGAUAGGAGAGAUUUGAUUUCAGGCCAUCUUGCAGCCCUCUUGUUCUCCCAGGAUAUACCCCAUGGGAGGUUCAUGUGAUGGGAAGGUCUGUGAAGCUGAGAUCCGCCCCGGAGGCUGCGGGCUUGCUCACACUCCAGGCUAGUGGGGCCAGCUCUCUGCUCCCAUGCCCCAGGUGGGAGAGGAACUGGAGCCAAGGCUGAGAGCUGCAGGGCUUGGGACUUACCUUCCAACCCUCCCUGGUGUCACUUCUCCUUGGCCCCUUCUUUGUAUUGUUCAUCCCCCACCCCAAUCUACUUAUUUGUUCAGACUCUGAAAAAUCUCUCCCUUUCCUCUUGUUGCCCACAGAAUCUCUGAAAAC